UCUUGACUAGUAUAUCGGUUAGUACACGCGCUUGUCACUUUGAUUACAUAAGCCAUACGCGCGAAAGCUGGGUUCGACUCCCAGGUCGAGAG
Non-coding RNA from Mycena capillaripes, 92 nucleotides. Lineage: Eukaryota; Fungi; Basidiomycota; Agaricomycetes; Agaricales; Mycenaceae. The record is from the annotation of a GenBank genome assembly.